This 692-nucleotide ribosomal RNA is filed under the name uncultured bacterium. RNAcentral's name for it is "bacterial SSU rRNA". It matches the Rfam family "Bacterial small subunit ribosomal RNA", at positions 631 to 1324 of the family's 1533-position model. The record is from RNAcentral.
AACUUUUCAGCUAGAGUAUGAUAGAGGAAAGCAGAAUUUCUAGUGUAGAGGUGAAAUUCGUAGAUAUUAGAAAGAAUACCAAUUGCGAAGGCAGCUUUCUGGAUCAUUACUGACACUGAGGAACGAAAGCAUGGGUAGCGAAGAGGAUUAGAUACCCUCGUAGUCCAUGCCGUAAACGAUGUGUGUUAGACGUUGGAAAUUUAUUUUCAGUGUCACAGGGAAACCGAUAAACACACCGCCUGGGGAGUACGACCGCAAGGUUAAAACUCAAAUGAAUUGACGGGGGCCCGCACAAGUAGUGGAGCAUGUGGUUUAAUUCGAAGAUACGCGCAGAACCUUACCAACACUUGACAUGUUCGUCGCGACUCUAAGAGAUUAGAGUUUUCGGUUCGGCCGGACGAAACACAGGUGCUGCAUGGCUGUCGUCAGCUCGUGUCGUGAGAUGUUGGGUUAAGUCCCGCAACGAGCGCAACCCUCACUUUUAGUUGCCAUCAUUAAGUUGGGCACUCUGAAAGAACUGCCAGUGAUAAGCUGGAGGAAGGUGGGGAUGACGUCAAGUCCUCAUGGCCCUUACGUGUUGGGCUACACACGUGCUACAAUGGUAUCUACAACAGGAAGCAAGACUGCGAAGUUAAGCAAAUCCCUAAAAGAUACCUCAGUUCGGAUUGCACUCUGCAACUCGAGUGCAUGAA